RNAcentral lists this ribosomal RNA (253 nucleotides) under uncultured bacterium. RNAcentral's name for it is "partial 16S ribosomal RNA". It matches the Rfam family "Bacterial small subunit ribosomal RNA", at positions 524 to 776 of the family's 1533-position model. The record is from RNAcentral.
UACAGGGGGUGCAAACGUUGCUCGGAAUCAUUGGGCGUAAAGCGCACGUAGGCGGUCUGUUAUGUCGGAUGUGAAAGCCCUUGGCUCAACUGAGGAAGUGCAUCCGAAACUGGCAGGCUAGAGUACUAAAGAGGGUCGCGGAAUUCCCGGUGUAGAGGUGAAAUUCGUAGAUAUCGGGAGGAACACCGGUGGCGAAGGCGGCGACCUGGGUAGAUACUGACGCUGAGGUGCGAAAGCGUGGAGAGCAAACAGG